Molecule: ribosomal RNA, 468 nt
Filed under: uncultured bacterium
Lineage: Bacteria
Description: partial 16S ribosomal RNA
Rfam family: Bacterial small subunit ribosomal RNA
Source: RNAcentral
GACGAACGCUGGCGGCGUGCUUAACACAUGCAAGUCGAACGGAAAGGCCCUGCUUUUGUGGGGUGCUCGAGUGGCGAACGGGUGAGUAACACGUGAGUAACCUGCCCUUGACUUUGGGAUAACUUCAGGAAACUGGGGCUAAUACCGGAUAGGAGCUCCUGCUGCAUGGUGGGGGUUGGAAAGUUUCGGCGGUUGGGGAUGGACUCGCGGCUUAUCAGCUUGUUGGUGGGGUAGUGGCUUACCAAGGCUUUGACGGGUAGCCGGCCUGAGAGGGUGACCGGCCACAUUGGGACUGCGAUACGGCGCAGUAGCCUACGGGAGGCAACAGUGGAGAAUAUGGCACAAUGGGCGGAAGCCUGAUGCGGCGACGCCGCGUGCGGAAUGACGGCCUUCGGGUUAUAAACCACUUUCGCCUGUGACGAAGCGUGAGUGACGGUAAUGGGUAAAGAAGCACCGGCUAACUACGUG